UAGUUGGUGGAGUGAUUUGUCUGGUUAAUUCCGAUAACGAACGAGACCUUAACCUGCUAAAUAGUCAGGCCGGCUUUUGCUGGUCGCGGGCUUCUUAGAGGGACUGUCAGCGUCUAGCUGACGGAAGUUUGAGGCAAUAACAGG
This 144-nucleotide ribosomal RNA is filed under the name uncultured fungus. RNAcentral describes it as "partial small subunit ribosomal RNA". It matches the Rfam family "Eukaryotic small subunit ribosomal RNA", at positions 1295 to 1460 of the family's 1831-position model. Lineage: Eukaryota; Fungi. The record is from RNAcentral.